This 73-nucleotide transfer RNA is filed under the name Capra hircus (goat). It matches the Rfam family "tRNA". From Rfam's summary of the family: Transfer RNA (tRNA) molecules are approximately 80 nucleotides in length. Their secondary structure includes four short double-helical elements and three loops (D, anti-codon, and T loops). The record is from Rfam by way of RNAcentral. RNAcentral also lists the same sequence under 1 other name. Lineage: Eukaryota; Metazoa; Chordata; Mammalia; Artiodactyla; Bovidae.
UCCUUGGUGGUCCAGUGGUUGAGACUCUGUGCUUCCAAUGCAGGGGACUUGGGUUCAAUCCCUGGUUGGGGAA